GAUGAACGCUGGCGGCGUGCCUAAUACAUGCAAGUCGAACGAACAGAUGAUGAGCUUGCGGCUUUCACGUGAGCGGCGGACGUGUGAGUAACACGUGUAUAACGUACUUGAAAUACGGGUAAAUUUUGGGAAAACGGGAUCAAAUACGGUAGAAGAUAUUGAUGCGCAGGGUGGAUUGGUAAGUUACGGUGUUGGGGGAUGGAAUAGCGGCUUCCCCGCCGCAUGGGGUAGUUGUUAAGUUAACGGCUUACGAAGGCAAGGAGGCGUAGCCGAGGUGAGGGAGUGAUAGGCCACACUGGAACUGAGACACGGUCCAGACUCCUACGGGAGGCAGCAGUAGGGAAUCGGACGCAAUGGGCGAAAGCAUGACGGAGCAACGCCGCGUGAGUGAUGAAGGUCUUCGGAUCGUAAAGAUCUGUUAUUAGGGAAGAACAAAUGUGUAAGUAACUAUGCACGUCUUGACGGUACCUAAUAAGAAAGCAACGGCUAACUACGUG
RNAcentral lists this ribosomal RNA (497 nucleotides) under uncultured bacterium. Its description in RNAcentral is "partial 16S ribosomal RNA". It matches the Rfam family "Bacterial small subunit ribosomal RNA", at positions 28 to 507 of the family's 1533-position model. The record is from RNAcentral.